Molecule: ribosomal RNA, 416 nt
Filed under: uncultured bacterium
Lineage: Bacteria
Description: bacterial SSU rRNA
Rfam family: Bacterial small subunit ribosomal RNA
Source: RNAcentral
GGGGAAUAUUGCACAAUGGGCGCAAGCCUGAUGCAGCGACGCCGCGUGAGGGAUGAAGGCCUUCGGGUUGUAAACCUCUUUCAGUAGGGAAGAAGCCGGCCUUUUGGGUUGGUGACGGUACCUGCAGAAGAAGCGCCGGCUAACUACGUGCCAGCAGCCGCGGUAAUACGUAGGGCGCAAGCGUUAUCCGGAAUUAUUGGGCGUAAAGAGCUCGUAGGCGGUUUGUCGCGUCUGCCGUGAAAGUCCGGGGCUCAACCCCGGGUCUGCAGUGGGUACGGGCAGGCUGGAGUGCAGUAGGGGAGACUGGAAUUCCUGGUGUAGCGGUGAAAUGCGCAGAUAUCAGGAGGAACACCGAUGGCGAAGGCAGGUCUCUGGGCUGUAACUGACGCUGAGGAGCGAAAGCAUGGGGAGCGAAC